ACGGCGGGAGUAACUAUGACUCU
Molecule: non-coding RNA, 23 nt
Filed under: Arabidopsis thaliana (thale cress)
Lineage: Eukaryota; Viridiplantae; Streptophyta; Magnoliopsida; Brassicales; Brassicaceae
Also listed under: 5 other names
Source: RNAcentral